Molecule: ribosomal RNA, 498 nt
Filed under: uncultured bacterium
Lineage: Bacteria
Description: partial 16S ribosomal RNA
Rfam family: Bacterial small subunit ribosomal RNA
Source: RNAcentral
AUUGAACGCUGGCGGCAUGCUUUACACAUGCAAGUCGAACGGUAACAGGCCGCAAGGUGCUGACGAGUGGCGAACGGGUGAGUAAUGCAUCGGAACGUGCCCAGUCGUGGGGGAUAACGCAGCGAAAGCUGUGCUAAUACCGCAUACGAUCUAUGGAUGAAAGCGGGGGACGGUAAGGCCUCGCGCGAUUGGAGCGGCCGACGGCAGAUUAGGGAGGUGGUGGGGUAAAGGCUCACCAAGCCAACGAUCGGUAGCUGGUCUGAGAGGACGACCAGCACCACUGGGACUGAGCCACGGCCCAGACUCCUACGGGAGGCAGCAGUGGGGAAUUUUGGACAAUGGGCGCAAGCCUGGUCCAGCAAUGCCGCGUGCAGGAAGAAGGCCUUCGGGUUGUAAACUGCUUUUGUACGGAACGAAACGGCGAGCUCUAAUACAGUUUGCUAAUGACGGUACCGUAAGAAUAAGCACCGGCUAACUACGUGCCAGCAGCCGCCGUAA